CUCUCUCUGGGGACUCCUCAAUCUCUCCCAUGCCAGGAAAGGUUCCCCAUACCUUCACUCCUCCCAGAAUAAGCUGCUGAAUCCCAGCUCACCUCCCCAGGCAUCUACUAUAGCUACCAUAGUCUGCUUUCCUCACGCUCAUCCAGAAAGAGCUUCUGCUUCAGCUUUUGCCUGGCCCUGCCUAGCAGGCAGGAGCUCCCACCCAAGAUCUUCCACCCCAGCCCACUGAGGAGAAGGCCUGGUGGUAAGAGGAACUGAGGUGAGGCUUCUUUCAGUGUGAAGAAGACAAGGCUCAAGAGAAUAGGAUAAGGGCCACCCAGAGGACACAGUGCAGGCUGCUGGCUCUGAGACAAACUGAGAAGGACAAGAAAGUUCCAGCCAAUCAAUCCCAGCUCCAGUGGGGUGUGAGUCUCCCAACGAGCUCGGCAGCUGAGUUCCCAUCAAUCCCCGACCCCCAUCCCCCGCUGCCUGUCUGGCUCUCCAUAUAUCAUCCCCCUUUGCUUGCUCACCACAGGCGAGAACACACAUGCAGGAUCGAUGGAGAGCUACAGCCUGCACAGGCAAUGCACUAUUCUCUGUGCAGCCGCAGGGCCCAGCCCAGAUAAUCCAGUGACACAGAGAAUCCAGCAUUUGGCUUGAGGGGUCAUGAGACUGGGAAAUUCUCAGCUUUUAAAAUCCAAUAAAAAAAAUAUCUGCAUG
This 699-nucleotide long non-coding RNA is filed under the name Chinchilla lanigera (long-tailed chinchilla). RNAcentral describes it as "lncRNA (ENSCLAG00000026561.1)". Lineage: Eukaryota; Metazoa; Chordata; Mammalia; Rodentia; Chinchillidae. The record is from RNAcentral.